Molecule: ribosomal RNA, 252 nt
Filed under: uncultured bacterium
Lineage: Bacteria
Description: partial 16S ribosomal RNA
Rfam family: Bacterial small subunit ribosomal RNA
Source: RNAcentral
UACGUAGGGGGCUAGCGCUAUCCGGAAUUACUGGGCGUAAAGGGUGCGUAGGUGGUUUCUUAAGUCAGAGGUGAAAGGCUACGGCUCAACCGUAGUAAGCCUUUGAAACUGGGGAACUUGAGUGCAGGAGAGGAGAGUGGAAUUCCUAGUGUAGCGGCGAAAUGCGUAGAUAUUAGGAGGAACACCAGUUGCGAAGGCGGCUCUCUGGACUGUAACUGACACUGAGGCACGAAAGCGUGGGGAGCAAACAGG